This 722-nucleotide ribosomal RNA is filed under the name uncultured Fusobacterium sp. RNAcentral's name for it is "bacterial SSU rRNA". It matches the Rfam family "Bacterial small subunit ribosomal RNA", at positions 28 to 776 of the family's 1533-position model. The record is from RNAcentral. Lineage: Bacteria; Fusobacteriati; Fusobacteriota; Fusobacteriia; Fusobacteriales; Fusobacteriaceae.
GAUGAACGCUGACAGAAUGCUUAACACAUGCAAGUCAACUUGAACUUCGGUUUGGGUGGCGGACGGGUGAGUAACGCGUAAAGAACUUGCCUCACAGAUAGGGACAACAUUUGGAAACGAAUGCUAAUACCUGAUAUUAUGAUUUUAGGGCAUCCUAGGAUUAUGAAAGCUAUAUGCACUGUGAGAGAGCUUUGCGUCCCAUUAGCUAGUUGGAGAGGUAACGGCUCACCAAGGCGAUGAUGGGUAGCCGGCCUGAGAGGGUGAUCGGCCACAAGGGGACUGAGACACGGCCCUUACUCCUACGGGAGGCAGCAGUGGGGAAUAUUGGACAAUGGACCAAGAGUCUGAUCCAGCAAUUCUGUGUGCACGAUGAAGUUUUUCGGAAUGUAAAGUGCUUUCAGUUGGGAAGAAAAAAAUGACGGUACCAACAGAAGAAGUGACGGCUAAAUACGUGCCAGCAGCCGCGGUAAUACGUAUGUCACAAGCGUUAUCCGGAUUUAUUGGGCGUAAAGCGCGUCUAGGUGGUUAUAUAAGUCUGAUGUGAAAAUGCAGGGCUCAACUCUGUAUUGCGUUGGAAACUGUGUAACUAGAGUACUGGAGAGGUAAGCGGAACUACAAGUGUAGAGGUGAAAUUCGUAGAUAUUUGUAGGAAUGCCGAUGGGGAAGCCAGCUUACUGGACAGAUACUGACGCUGAAGCGCGAAAGCGUGGGUAGCAAACAGG